GUAUAUGGAUAUGGAAAAUAUAAGAUUUCCGAUCCUAGCGGGAAAAGGCGGGGAACAGAUACCCAAUAGGAUAUAGGAUCCUUGGGAGAAACUUUUCGUAAUGGCCUGGACCUCUAUGCUAUUUUUUAUGUGUUCUUAGUUCUAUUGAACUUUUUUCAUUCUUUUAAACAAGAAUCUAAUAAACUAGAAUUGAGUCAGUGGAAAAAAGGAGAGAGAGGAAAGUGUUAA
RNAcentral lists this ribosomal RNA (228 nucleotides) under Triticum aestivum (bread wheat). Its description in RNAcentral is "partial small subunit ribosomal RNA". Lineage: Eukaryota; Viridiplantae; Streptophyta; Magnoliopsida; Poales; Poaceae. The record is from RNAcentral.